CAUAAAACUACUGCUGCGCUACAUUGUGCCACCCGACCGCCCUCACACCUUUGCUGACAGCUCUUCUGCGUUGCCUAACUCCAAUACGACUCGGUGUAAGCGCAGCGCUCGCCAUUCGAAUUCAACUGAUUUGGCCCGAAUCAGUCGUCAGUGUGUCUUAAGCGACUAUAGUCGUUGAGCUCGUCAUCUCUCGUCGUAGCGUUUUUGGUCGUUGCGUUAGUGCAUUAGCUGAUACAGUUAGUUUUCCAUUUUAACGAACGAAAUUACGAGUCCCCUGUUUUCUUGUUUUCUGGCGUGGUAGCAUCUUGGCAGCUUCACGGAAUUUAGGACAGUUAGUUCUAUUGAUGCCGCGCUGUAAAAGUGUUUGUGAGUGUAUGUGUGUGCGCGCGGGUAUACAAUAAGUCAGCGCCAGCCAAAUCUAUUUCCGCUAGCGUUUGCAUUGGCAAAUUAUAUCAUAAAAUCAACAUUGCGCGGUCGUUUUGCCAUUGACAUAGGUCACGUCGCCAACGUAUGUAUACGUGCGCUGCGUUCGAACUGCGAGCCGCCUCAGCGCUGUGUUCAGUGUGCGAAUAGUAACGCCUUCACGCGCAUACAUCGCCGCCGCCUGUAUGUAUAAGUGGUAUGUACUAACAUCUAGUGUACUUUAACAGCUUAACUGCAUAGCAGCAGCGCGUAUACCAACGCACAUACAAGCGCACAUUUACACAUACGUCGUGUACUUUUGGUGUUUGCACGCGUGUUGUGCGCGCAGCGUAGUAAGCACGCACCGGCAGUGCUGCCGCGAGGCGCCUACAAAUAUACAACGGCCAUAUAAUCAUACACAAACAUAAGUAUUCGGGCGCUCACAUACACAUACACAGGCGCCGCAUUAAGCACUUUAUGUGCGGUAAUUCGAAUAUAAAUUUGAUGUUCCUGCGAAUUGCAGCAACGAAGCAACAAAGAAAGCGAAUGUGAAAUUGCCAGCAACAAUUUGUUGUUUGCGUGAGCGUAAUACAUAUAAUAAACGCAACAAGAACAACAGCAAUAAAAAUAAAAACAAAAAGAACAACAUUAGUGAAUACCAGCAAUUGCGGCAAUAAAUAAAUUCCGUGUAUGCUGAAUCAAGAAUUGCACUAAAUCGUGUGCGCGUGUGUGUCAAAUUACUGAACGCUGUCGUUUAUUCGGCGCGCUGAUUCUUAAACACUUGCGUAUUCUUCGAAAGUACAAAUACUAAAUUUACGUGCUGUGUGAGUUAAACGGAAGCAAAUUACUAGAGUAAGGCGCGGUAGGCUAUUAUCAUUUGCUCACUUUGUCGUUAACGGUGUGCUUUUCAAGCACUUACACAGACACACUCACCCAUACAUACAUACCUAGAUUUGUUUACUUACUUUUGAGCACAUUGUUGCCGGUAGUGUUUUCGUGGCACUUGUGCGGUUCGUAAAAACAAAAGUUGUUGACAUUAAAAUUUCCGUAAAUGCGCGCUUAAUGCAGUUGCUCGUUUGAGUUGUGAGUGUUGCUCUUGCAAAGUAUCGUUGCAGAUGUGUUGUAAAUAAAACGAAAAUUUGUUUGUGUAAACACUUGUGAGACUCUGGAGUGCUGUUGUUGAAAGGCAAUUUUGCAAACAAUCAGCUGUGGCAUUUUUAAAGUGAGUGAAAGUUUGAAAUUUAGACUAAAAAGUGCUUGCAAGUCCGAAUUGUGAAACUCUUUAAAUAUUCGGUCAGUUGUCAUAUAAAGAAACGAGCUUUUUGAAGAGCAUAUUUUGACUUGAUAUUAAAAGAUUAGAAAGAGAUAUCUGCACGCACUGAAAUUUGUGUAGCCAUUGAUUAUUUAGACAAGAAACUGCAGUUUAUAAAGAAG
Bactrocera oleae (olive fruit fly) is the source of this 1836-nucleotide non-coding RNA. The record is from RefSeq and is a predicted model, not a curated record. Lineage: Eukaryota; Metazoa; Arthropoda; Insecta; Diptera; Tephritidae.